Molecule: non-coding RNA, 4793 nt
Organism: Rattus norvegicus (Norway rat)
Lineage: Eukaryota; Metazoa; Chordata; Mammalia; Rodentia; Muridae
Source: RefSeq, a predicted model, not a curated record
CCUGCCAAUGGACAAAGGCAAAACCCUGAAGAGAGGUGGGACAUCAGCCUCUUACUCUCCGGAUACAGCCUCUGAGAAUCCGCCCAGACACUCCCACUUCGCCAGUGGUCAGAGAAAGGGAGGUGGCUUAAGGCCGGAUGUGCUGCUUUCACGGGAGUCUGCUGAUCCUGAGACGGAAGGCAGGGAGUCUUUGGGGGUCCCACCUGUUUAGUUCCGCAAGAAAACAAGGACAGAAGUAGAGAACAAGGCACUAUGGCCUGCACUUAACUCGGUCUUUAUUGCUGUGUCUCUGGAUUUGUAGGUCACUCGUCUCGACUUUUCAGGUCCCACACGAUUCCUUGGGGCGGACGACCAGUGACUGACACAGCAUAUACAACUUGGAGGCCCAGCUGUCCUCUGGAUGCACCACCGCGGUGAUCCCAUCAAAUGAAGAGCUGGUGCAGUCAUAUACCAUCUCUCUGUUGCCCUUCAUGUGUAGUUCAAAGGCCAUCACGUGACCAUUCCUGGAAGCCAUGAACACACACGCCACUUCAUACCAGGAACGGAACCAAUAGAAAAGACAGUUCCACCAAGUCCAGCUUUGGGUGAACAGUGAGGACCACUGGGGCCACUUACGAGAUGGUGGGCAACUGAAGAGUGGCUACAUCCUUGAAAAGUCUCCCCUAGCGAUUGUUAAGGGCUUAACUACUCUGAGGAGCGUUGUACUGGCUGGUUCUGUGUGUCAACGUGACACAAGCUGGAGUUAUGGAGAAAGGAGCCUCCCUUGAGGAAAUGCCUCCAUAAGAUUCAGCUCAUGAAUGAGGCAUUUUCUCAAUUAGUGAUCGAGGGGGAGGACCCAGCCCAUUGUGGGUGGUGCCAUCCCUGGGCUGGUGGUCCUGGGUUCUAUAAGAAAGCAAGCUGAGCAAGCCAGGGGAAGCAAGCCAGUAAGAAACAUCCCUCCUUGGCCUCUGCCUCAGCUCCUGCUUCCUGACCUGCUUGAGUUCCAGUCCUGACUUCCUUUGGUGAUGAACAGCGAUGCGGAAGUGUAAGCUGAAUAAACCCUUUCCUCCCCAGCUUGCUUCUUGGUCAUGAUAUUUUAUUCAGGAAUACAAACCCUGACCAAGACAAGCCAACAUAGUGGGGUAUUCCUGUGACAACCUGACCAUGUUUGAAGGAAGACUGUGUAAGGACUUUGGAACUUUGAGCUAGAAGAGCCAUUGGGUGUUCAGAGCUCUGUGGAUGUUCUGUAGGAGCUUGGAAGAUAAUGUUGAGUACUGUGUAAACGAUGAAGGCCUGCUUUGUGAAAUUUCACAGGGACAAUUAAAGACUCUUAUCAGAGCCAUUGCUGUUUUGAUUGUGAAGAUUCUGUGGUUUUGGUUAGCUGGGGCUGAGGAAUCAGCUGUGAUUAACAAGAUACCAGAACUACUAAAGCGAAACCUUUGCAUUAUUGGGACUAUUGAUGCUGGUCAGCUGGAGCUAAGAAAUUAGUGCUGAUUAAGAAGAGACCAGCAUCACUGAGGUGAAAUCUUCUGGGAAGUGUUUCCUGAGAGCACAGAGAAGCUGUGUUCCAGAGGCAGCCACGGUUGUACCUUGUGUUGGUAGCCAGACUUGGUAAUGUAUAAGAGUCACCCAGGUGGGACUAGUUUUGAAGGCAUGAAGGGGUCAUGAAGAGCAGCUGAGAAUUGGCACUGUGAGAGGCGAGGAGAGGCCAUUGGUGAAGGUGCAGCCUCAGAGGCAGUUCAGGCCCAGGACUGAAGGGGUCGUGCAGAGACGCUGAGGCUUAGCACCAUGAAAAGAUCCUGAGAGGCUGUUUGUGAAAGUGCAGACCAGUUGCAGCAGAAGACAGCAGAGUUUUGGAGAUGCCAGUGCCAUGAGAUGACCACCAAGAACAGCAGCAGCAGCUGGAGCCUAGAAGACAAGGUGUGUGCUACAAAGGGCAGAGCUGGAGAAGUGACCCAAGCCUUUGGAGGAACCCAGAAGAUUGUGAGUGGAUCCCAAACAUUGGAUGGUUAGACUUUGAUUUUGCUUUUGACUGUGACUGUGCUCUGAUAUUUUUCCCUCUUGAAAGAAAAAAAGUAUUUUAGUGGAGCCCACAGAUAAGAGACUUUGAAUAGUAAAAAGAUUUUGAAAAAGAGAUUGGAUAUUUUAAAGAGGUUGAAAUUUUAAUAUGGAAGUAUUUAUAUGGAUUUUUAAAGUUAUUUAGAUCUUGAGGAUGAAGAAAGUCAGGGUUGAGGCUUAAUAGUGAUGUGUUUGUGUGUCAAGUUGACAAGGAGUCAGUUGUGCUGGCUGCUUUUAUGUGUCAACUUGAUACAAGCUGGAGUUAGCACAGAGAAAGGAGCCUCCCUUGAGGAAAUGCCUCCAUGAGAUCCAGCUGUAAGGCGUUUUCUCAAUUAGUGAUCAAGAGGGGAGGGCCCAGCCCAUUGUGGGUGGAGCCAUCCCUGGGCUGGUGAUCUUGGGUUCUAUAAGAGAGCAAGCUGAGCAAGCCAGGGGAAGCAAGCCAGUCAGUAUCAUCCCUCCAUGGCCUCUGCAUCAGCUCCUGCUUCCUGACCUGCUUGAGUUCCAGUCCUGACUUCCUUUGGUGAUGAACAGCGAUGUGGAAGUGUAAGCUGAAUAAAACCCUUUCCUCCCCAGCUUGUUUCUUGGUCAUGAUGUUUUGUGCAGGAAUAGGAACCCUGACUAAGACAUGGGGCACGGCGUCUGCGUGGCUUUGGUAGCACACCCAUCUCCACCUUCCGUGAGGGAAUGUUAGUGGGCCAGUCUUGUGAGGAGUCUAAUGUCAACAGUCAGCAGCCAUGUCAGUCAUGUCAAGGCCAGACAACAGAGUUCCACAACACUGUUCCCCUUCAGAUACAGAGGAUAACAGGAUAUCCUCUUUUUAUGUGGCUUAUUUUGCUUAGCACAAUGACCUCAGUGUCCAUUCAUGCUGUCGCAUACAUCAGAAUAUUUUUGUGCCUGGAUUAUCAAACCAAAUAAACAAAAAUCUUAAAGGGUAUGGAGUAGUACUUAACUGUGGCUUCGCUUUGGAUUUUAUAGUUUUUUAUUUUCCUCCAAGUUUAAUUUUUUACUUAAGAUAGAUGUAGGAUGAUGUCAUUAUGCAGCAAGGCGGGUCCAGGAUAAGGCGUAGCCUAUCAUUGGAUGAGAAGGGAGGGUAGGCGGGGAAAAGCCUAGGAAGGAGGGAGGAGGAGGAGCGAGGGAAAUCAAGAUGGAGACAACAGAGCAGGAUGAUCCAGAUUGAGGUAGACUGGGUUGAUUUUGUCUUGUCUAGGUGGACGGUUUAAAUCUUUAUUAAUUGGCAGUGAAUUUAUUGUGUGGAUGUAUUGUGGAUUGGGAAUUUAACAUGUAAAUUUGAUUGUUGGGUUACAGUUAGUCGAGUCUUGAUUUUACGGGGUAGGUGGCUGGAACCAGUGUGUUCCGGGCUGGCAAGGGCUGGCCAGGGCGAUUAGCAUUGGGAGCAGAGAUACCCUGGGGCUAGACGAUAGCUAGGCUAACAUGGCGUGGUGCCACACUGAAGCCAGCCGCCACUGAGAUAAACUAAGGUUAGUUCUGCAUGGCCCUACAACUAACAUCAGGGAGCAAACGCCUGGAUCCGAGAGUACCAGGGAGGGGCCAGCGUGGAGCGGUGACCUCAGGAACCAAUUGUGCCCUUUUUUAAUCUUACCACAACAGAUCUAUCCAUCCAUCCAUCUAUCUAUCUAUCUAUCUAUCUAUCUAUCUAUCUAUCUAUCUAGUUUUUCCAAGAUAGUUUCUCUGUGUAGUCCUGGUUGUCCUGGGACUUGCUCUGCAGACCAGGCUGGCCUCAAACCCACAGAGAUUCCCCUGCCUCUGCCUCCCAAGUGCUGGGAUUAAAAGUGUGCGCCACUGGGGUUGGGGAUUUAGCUCAGUGGUUGAGCGCUUGCCUAGCAAGCGCAAGGCCCUGAGUUCGGUCCCCAGCUCCAGAAAAAAAAAAAAAAAAGAGAGAGAAAAAAAAAAAAAAAAAGUGUGCGCCACCACCACCUGGCUUAUUAUUUAAAGCACAGGAGUGGAACUGUUUUCUUUACAAACCAGGGACAGCUCCUCAGCUGCAAUGCUGCUUUUCGUUUUGUUUUAAGAUUUAUUUUUAUUUUAAGUAUGUCAGUAUGCCGUCGCUGCCUGCAGACACACCAAAAGAGGGCACCGAAUCCCACUACAGAUAGUUGUGAGCCACCGUGUGGUUACUGGGAAUCGAACUGAGGACCUCUGGAAGAACAGUUGGUGCUCUUAACCGCUGAGCCGUCUCUCCAGCCCAGCCUCGCGAAGAAUUUGACUGAAUUUAUUGACCCAUUGACUCGGGUGAGUCUCUGACACCCACGGGAGUUAAGGACUGGCAAUCAAGAGAGGCACUGAGAUGGGAGCUUCCUGGUGUCGCUGCUGUGCCUUUCUCCUUGAAUUACGUUUGGUUCGCCACGUUUGGGAGUCCCCUGUACAGCUCAGGAGAUGGCUGGCAUUUCUCGAGAAGUUCCUCUGGAUUCCUCAACAAUGAAAGAUUGUUAGAUGUCCCUGGAAGACACUGGUGGGAGUAUCCAGGAGAAAGAGGCCCAGCCUGUAAUCUCGCAACUCAGGAGCCCCGGAAAGCAACAAAGUACACACAGCGCAGGUGAAAGAGUCACAUAGACACAAUGGGAGCUCUGUUGCUCGGGAAAGCAGGGUGACCACAGCUGUGUCUUCAAGGACAGCCUGGCAGAGAACACUCUUUCUCCUUUGUUUUCUGAGCUUGAGAAAAGUGGGGAGGAGGGGAAGAGACAUCGCCCAACUUUCCCCUGAGAGCAAUCGUCCACGAAAACUCACCUGUACUAAGA